RNAcentral lists this transfer RNA (68 nucleotides) under Trichonephila clavata. It matches the Rfam family "tRNA". Rfam says of the family: Transfer RNA (tRNA) molecules are approximately 80 nucleotides in length. Their secondary structure includes four short double-helical elements and three loops (D, anti-codon, and T loops). Further hydrogen bonds mediate the characteristic L-shaped molecular structure. tRNAs have two regions of fundamental functional importance: the anti-codon, which is responsible for specific mRNA codon recognition, and the 3' end, to which the tRNAs corresponding amino acid is attached (by aminoacyl-tRNA synthetases). tRNAs cope with the degeneracy of the genetic code in two manners: having more than one tRNA (with a specific anti-codon) for a particular amino acid; and 'wobble' base-pairing, i.e. permitting non-standard base-pairing at the 3rd anti-codon position. The record is from Rfam by way of RNAcentral. Lineage: Eukaryota; Metazoa; Arthropoda; Arachnida; Araneae; Nephilidae.
GCCAGUAUAGUGGAUAUGACCCUUGGCUUUUAACCAUGUAGGCUCGGGUUCGAAUCCCGAAUAAGGCA